AAAAGCAAUUUUGUUAAUCACUUUAGCACCAAUUCUUGCAUCCCUGGCAAUACUCAGAACUGCUUCCAUCCAAGUCUUUGAUGUGGGAAAGAAACACACACACACUCUUUCGCAUGUAAUCUGAAAACAAUUCACCUCUUGCCAAUGAAUGCACAGCACUCCACUUUAAUAGAGAGCAAGUUCUGUGGAGGUUUCUAAUCCUUUCUGCCAAAGAAGAGAAGAGAGAGAAUCACUCAGCUUCUAUUGCAGAUGUGAAGUUUAGCAUUUCUUUGCUCACUCUUUUACUGGGAA
Molecule: long non-coding RNA, 291 nt
Filed under: Pan troglodytes (chimpanzee)
Lineage: Eukaryota; Metazoa; Chordata; Mammalia; Primates; Hominidae
Also listed under: 2 other names
Description: lincRNA
Source: RNAcentral